This 860-nucleotide long non-coding RNA is filed under the name Nicotiana benthamiana. RNAcentral's name for it is "long non-coding RNA (NBEN_LNC031417)". The record is from RNAcentral. Lineage: Eukaryota; Viridiplantae; Streptophyta; Magnoliopsida; Solanales; Solanaceae.
CUCAAUUAUGUUUUACUUCUGCGUAUAUGCAAUGCCUGUAAAAGAGAACAACUCGGUUAUUUAUUAGAUUAGCAAUUAGAGUUAGAUAGUAACUAAAUUUCUAAUCCUCCAUUGAUUUUGAGUCCUAGACCAAUCCAAACUCCAACACUUGUCCGGAUGUGUUCUCUUCUCUUUCUCAAAUUGACCAAUGCAACAACUUAUGUUAAAUAAUAAUUUUAUCAAGCAAAUUCAAGAUACUAGUAAGCUAAGCAUCAACUAACCGUAAAGGCUAAGCUACAAAACAACAACAUACUUCAUUCAUCCUCAUAUAAGUGCGUAAGACAUCAAAAUUAUAUUAAUCAUGAAAAGGUUAAGAAACGACCUUAGAUAUAUUUUUUCAAACGAAAUCUUAAAAUCCUUAAUAAAACUCGACAAAAACAUGACCAAUAUUCAACAACGGACCUCGAAUCGGCACCGAGAAUUUCAAAUCCAUACACAAACUCAAAUGACAUUCAUUUUGGAACAAAAAUCUAAGAACAAACUUCACAAACCGCGAUAGUAAACAGUAGUAAUAGCAAAUAAGAGUCAAAUGAUAUUAGAAUAGUAGGUCUUCAAUCUUCAGUUAUUCGUGCUAUCACAAUUUGCAAGAAUAUACAACUGAGAUGAUUUUUUCGAUGAAUUUAGAGGCGUCUAGGUCUGGCGCGGCUAGUUUUGUUGUGAAGAAGAAAAGUAGCGAUGGUGUUGGCUGCACGUCGAAACUUCUGGUUAUGGACGACAGCGACACUAGUUUUGGAGGUGACUGUUGUGUUUGGUGGGGUGGAAGAAGGUGACGACUUAAGGGGUGGUGUCUAAUUUUCUUCAUGAAGAUGGCUGCUCCUUUU